This 253-nucleotide ribosomal RNA is filed under the name uncultured bacterium. Its description in RNAcentral is "partial 16S ribosomal RNA". It matches the Rfam family "Bacterial small subunit ribosomal RNA", at positions 524 to 776 of the family's 1533-position model. The record is from RNAcentral.
UACAGAGGAGCCAAGCGUUGUCCGGAUUGACUGGGCGUAAAGCGCACGCAGGCGGAUGCGCGCGUGGGGUGUGAAAUCUGGCCGCUUAACGGCCAGGCGCCAUCCCAUACGGCGCGUCUGGAGUGAUGCAGAGGUCGGUGGAAUUGCCGGUGUAGUGGUGAAAUGCGUAGAUAUGCGGAGGAACACCGAUGGCGAAGGCAAUCCCCUGGGCCUGCACUGACGCUCAUGCACGAAAGCGUGGGGAGCAAACAGG